Non-coding RNA from Camellia sinensis, 2252 nucleotides. The record is from RefSeq and is a predicted model, not a curated record. NCBI's taxonomy places the organism in Eukaryota, Viridiplantae, Streptophyta, Magnoliopsida, Ericales, Theaceae.
AGACUAAAGUAAUUGAUGGUGACACAGGCAGGUAGAAAUUUCUCCUUCACUACUGAUCAAGAGACUCAGAGCCUUAGAAUUUUAAUAGGUCGACAAUACUGCAUUAUUUAAGGAUAAAUUACAUUUUACCACCUGUAUUAGGCCCAAAAACACAUUCCCCCUUAUGGUUCCAUCUCCUGUGGUUUGGUCCUAAAGUGCAACACAACAACUACAUAAUUGUAAACUUUUAACACACCUUUUUAAGUGAUAAGUAUAUUUGAAGAUGAAAGAAAAGUGAACCUCUUGUGUAUAAAAAGUUCCUCUCAUUAAGUAUGAAUUACUAAGAGAAACCAUGAAAAUGGAGACAUUAUUAUGACAACUUACAAAAAUUUGUAUACGAUUUAUCUGAAUCCAUAAUAGUACUUCAUUUUCGCGAACAAAAAAUUAAAUCAAUAAAUGAACAUCGGAGCACGCCUUCAAUCCACCAUGUUAACAAUAUAAAGAAGGCCCAAAAAGAAUAAGAAAAAGGAAAGAGUAAGCUUAAGCUCUUAAAGUUCCUUUAAAAAGUAAUUUUAUUAUUUGUAGGGGCCAUUGCUUGGUGCAGUAAAAAAAUAUGGUUGGGCUGUCAAAAAUGAGAAUGCGGGUUUGAGUAUGGUAGUAGCAGCAACUUUGUACUUAUUAUGUAGUGGGUUGAUCCAGGCUUCAAUUCACUUAUGUGGUAAAUAUUCAAAGAAUAUGAAGUUGUUGUUGCAGCUAAUCAAAAAAAUGAAACUGCUGUUGCAACCUAUCAUUGCAAGAACUGCAAAACUGGAAAAAGAGAUGCAACACCUUGCUACAUCGAGUAUCAUGAUAAUUUUCGUAGACUACAAUGAAACCCCAGGAUUUAAUAGUUUCUAUAGUUCUUUGUGUUAGUUCAUCCAUUCAUUUUUAGUCUCUUAUUUAUUGAAUAUUUUAGUUGUUGUAAUGUCUACAUCUGCUUGUAUACGCCAUGAUCUAUUGUUUAUACAUUUAUUCAUGGGUUAAUUUCCUGUGUUUUUAGCCAAAAUUUUCGUGUGAAAAUAUUGUAAUAAAUUACGAAGAAAACCUAAGAUAUGAUCCUUUCCAUUAGGUAUUAUGAGAUGUUAUCUUAUAUUUUAAAUUCAUUCAUUAUUGUGCUGAAUUUAGAAAUUAUAAAUUUUGAAGAAUUCUUAGAACAUUGAGGCUUUUCAAUAGGUACCAUGAUAUGUCUGAUGUUUAAAAUUUAUUUACAGAUAUUGUGCCGAAUUGGGAAAUAUUCAAUUACUUACAAAAUGAUCACCUCCUAGUUUGAAUCAUUUGCCUCUUUCAAUUCUUGAAUUCUUGUUAAUCAUUUAAAAAAUUCCUUGUCAUUACUGGUUUUUGUCUCUGUUUCCUGCUUCCAUCUAAUACAAGCUCUCUUUCUGUGCUUGCACGUGUGUAUGUAACAGUGUGCACAAAUGUUUGAAUUUCUUCUCAGACAUGUUGUUGCUUUGAGUUAAAAACUAUCUAGUUGAUGGUUAAUGUUAAUUCUCUUCCCUAUUUCGCAGCAUUGUGGAGAAGGGGACUGGCCUCUGGAAGUGGGGUGAAGUGCGCAUCAUCAGCGUGCUUGGUGUUCUAUGAGAGGCAGAUAAGUUCAGAAGCUCUUUCUACUUUGUAUCCAACAUGCAUAUUGAGAGGUUCUGAUCUAUGAUGUUGCUCCCACUCAUCUUAUUAGAAAAUGAAUUGACAAACACAUUUGGCUUUCCCUCUCCAUUGUUUUAAGACGGGUUCUGGCAUGGUGUAAUUGUCAUCUGUGUUCUAUAACCUGAUGUUUCCCAUUUUGUACAAAGUUUUACUGGAACUAUCUGGUUGAAAAACUGAAGCUUGAGAACUCCAUUUUUAUGGCAGGAUGUGAAGGGCCCUCAAACUGUUGCAUUCAACCUUCCAAAUGAUGAGCGUAUAGUGAAAGAUCGGGGAACAUCCAUGGUCAUCCAGGAGUGAUGGUAACAAUACUAAGGGCUUCUGUUAUUUCUCAACAUGCAGGAUAAGGUUUCCAUAUCCAUGGCAAUGGGGGACUCCCACUGUAAAUGCUAUGGAUGCUUUUAUAAUGAUGGCUGCAGUUAUGAUUGCUCUUGUUGAGCUUGAUUUAUUCUAGUGAAUUUUUCAAGUCUUUUGAUUUUAUAUAUAGCUGGUGUAUAGAUGUCACCGGUAGCUCAUAUCAUUAUUGGUUUUGUAUGAAAUUAUUAUUUGAAGUUGGAAUAUACUUGGUUUUUAUGCAAUGUUGACAUUAAAAGUUA